Molecule: long non-coding RNA, 1260 nt
Organism: Gasterosteus aculeatus aculeatus (three-spined stickleback)
Lineage: Eukaryota; Metazoa; Chordata; Actinopteri; Perciformes; Gasterosteidae
Source: Ensembl
AACGUGGUUGAUGCAUGUCUGUUCGCAGCGGCCUCUGACCUCUUUCUGCCGCCCCCUGCGAUCAUCUACUAACUCCACUGACCUACAUUUGUCUUCCCCUGCACAGUUUGACAUUGACCCUCGUCUAUGACUGUCAUUUCUGGCCAUGCUGCCAUCGCCUUUUCCGUCACCGUCGUCCAGCUCGCUGCAAAUGCCCCCCCUCCGCCAAAUCGCUCCAGCUUCAACUCCAUUGUCAGGAUUUACUCUCUCCGGCACAUUCGCUUCCACGUUUGCUUCCUGCGCCAGCUCUUCCCUCCGCUCUGCUCUGCCUCCGUCGAACAGCAUCAUCACAGCAAUAGAUAAGUAUACUGACAACACACACGCGCACACGAUGGAAUGACGUCACGUACCCGUGUGCAUAUCACUUUCUCAAAGGGUCCGUGGACGUUUUGACAGUCCGUUUUACCGUGGAGUCCUGGAUGCUAAACGAUUUCUGAAUGUAUGGAAGUCUAUAUAAAUAGGACACUACUUAUGACUCGAUUUAUUACCAUCAUUACAUUACCCGCAAAUGUAGUCUUUACACGGGAACGCCCACUUCUUAUUCUCCUCUUCUCUUCUUCUAGAAUGGAAAUUGAAUUAGAAAAGGUUGCGUAUGUAUUGCUGAACAUUUAUACUUUCAUAAAUGAAUCUCGUGCAUAUGAUUCCAAAUACAUACAAAGUUUAGAUACAUAUGGGAGUGUUUCACAUAUAUUAUAUGUUGUGUGGACAAUUUUCACUAGUACGUGUAAGAGCUUUUCAUUAGUGUGUAUGAAUGAAAUCACACUAGCAUACAGAAGGUAUCUCACUUACACCAGAAGGUGGAAGCAAAGAGGGCAGGUUUUGAACAGUAAAAAUUACUAAUGGUAUUAGCACUACAGUUGAUAUUACUAGUAAUACUACUAACACUACUACAAUUUUUCCCAUUGCUAUUAAUACUAAAACUACUAAUACUUCUUCUACUGCUAGUACUACCAGUACCACAACUAAUACUACUGCUAAUAUUACUACAUAGCCAUUUUUAAGAAUUCAUCUCAUCUUUUCUCAUUUCUGUAUUUUCAGCAAUGUUUUUACAUUUAUUUCAGCUUUUCUUAUUUCUGUAUUUACAUAAUGUUUAAAAAAUUCGCUCCAGCUUUAGCUGUUUCUGUAUUUUCAAAAUUCUGAAAUUCAUUUCAGCGUUUUUCAUGUCUGUAUGUUCAGCAAUUUUCUGAAAUUCAUUUCAAUAUUUAGCAUUUUUCUUUUCAG